CUGACUACUUGGUGGGAUAUCCAUCGAACCGCGGCAGCGGGCUGACCCGCAUGGAGCAGCUGGGGUUCAGGUCUCAUCCCUGGGCAGACCGAGGCAGGCAGCUGGGGUGAUGGAACAGACACACUCAGUCCGAAAUUCCUCACUUAUGGAUAUAUAAAAACACCCAGUUUAAGCAACGGAGCUUAGUCAAGCUUU
Long non-coding RNA from Thalassophryne amazonica, 195 nucleotides. RefSeq lists it as uncharacterized. Lineage: Eukaryota; Metazoa; Chordata; Actinopteri; Batrachoidiformes; Batrachoididae. The transcript is spliced from 3 exons. The record is from RefSeq and is a predicted model, not a curated record.